RNAcentral lists this transfer RNA (73 nucleotides) under bacterium. RNAcentral's name for it is "tRNA-Gln". It matches the Rfam family "tRNA". From Rfam's summary of the family: Transfer RNA (tRNA) molecules are approximately 80 nucleotides in length. Their secondary structure includes four short double-helical elements and three loops (D, anti-codon, and T loops). The record is from RNAcentral. RNAcentral also lists the same sequence under 1 other name.
UGGGGCGUGGUCGAAUUGGCAAGACGUCUGACUCUGGAUCAGAAGGCUGGAGGUUCGAGCCCUCCCGCCCCAG